GAUUUCCGGAACCUGGAAGCCUAGGCAGGCAGUGGGGAACUCUGACUCGCCUGUGCUCUGGAGCUUGAUCCGAAAGCUUCCACAGUGAGGACUGCUCCGUGGGGUCCUGCUCCGCUUCGCAGUGGAAUGGAACGGAUUUAGAAGCCUGCAGUAGGGGAGUGGGGAGUGGAGAGAGGGAGCCCAGAGUUACAGACGGCGGCGAGAGGCCCCAAAGAGUCUGAUGUUUACAAGACCAGAAAUGCCACGGCCGCGUCCUGGCAGAGAAAAGGCUGAAAUGGAGGACCGGCGCCUUCCUUAUAAGCUCGUUGGGGCCUAAGCCAGUACCGACCUGGUAGAAAAAGCAACCACGAAGCUAGAGAGAGAGCCAGAGGAGGGAAGAGAGCGCCAGACGAAGGUGAAAGCGAACCACGCAGAGAAAUGCAGGCAAGGGAGCAAGGCGGCAGUUCCCGGAACAAACGUGGCAGAGGGCAAGACGGGCACUCACAGACAGAGGAGUGAUUAUGCAGUGGGACCCUGCUGCAAACGGGACUUUGCACUCUAAAUAUAGACCCCAGCUUGGGACAAAAGUUGCAGUAGAAAAAUAGACAUAGGAGAACACUUAAAUAAGUGAUGCAUGUAGACACAGAAGGGGUAUUUAAAAGACAGAAAUAAUAGAAGUACAGAAGAACAGAAAAAAAAUCAGCAGAUGGAGAUUACCAUUCCCAAUGCCUGAACUUCCUCCUGCUAUUAAGAUUGCUAGAGAAUUGUGUCUUAAACAGUUCAUGAACCCAGAAGAAUGCAAUUUCAAUGUAUUUAGUACACACACAGUAUGUAUAUAAACACAACUCACAGAAUAUAUUUUCCAUACAUUGGGUAGGUAUGCACUUUGUGUAUAUAUAAUAAUGUAUUUUCCAUGCAGUUUUAAAAUGUAGAUAUAUUAAUAUCUGGAUGCAUUUUCUGUGCACUGGUUUUAUAUGCCUUAUGGAGUAUAUACUCACAUGUAGCUAAAUAGACUCAGGACUGCACAUUCCUUGUGUAGGUUGUGUGUGUGUGGUGGUUUUAUGCAUAAAUAAAGUUUUACAUGUGGUGAAUAUACGUGCUGUAUGUAAUCUUUCCCCAGUCGGUUGCUUUCACAUACAGUAGAUAAAAGUGCCUCUGUG
RNAcentral lists this long non-coding RNA (1139 nucleotides) under Homo sapiens (human). Its description in RNAcentral is "HSALNT0368395". Lineage: Eukaryota; Metazoa; Chordata; Mammalia; Primates; Hominidae. The record is from RNAcentral.